Pelobates cultripes (western spadefoot toad) is the source of this 159-nucleotide non-coding RNA. The record is from the annotation of a GenBank genome assembly. NCBI's taxonomy places the organism in Eukaryota, Metazoa, Chordata, Amphibia, Anura, Pelobatidae.
GCUGACACAUCCCGGCCAAUCUCCAGCAGACCCUCCCUCCCAGAUCCUCCCACCUCCUGGACAGCAUUCAUGUUGAAGGCAGCUUCAACAUGGAUGCUGCCCAGGAGGUGGGAGGGUCUGGGAGGGAGGGUCUGCUGGAGAUUGGCCAGGAUGUGUCAG